AACGAACGCUGGCGGCGUGCUUAACACAUGCAAGUCGAGCGCACGGACGGACUUCGGUCCGCGAGUGAGCGGCGAACGGGUGAGUAACACGUGAAUAACGUACCCUUGGGUGUGGGAUAACCAUUCGAAAGGAUGGCUAAUACCGCAUAAGACCACAACGCCUCAUGGCGAAGGGGUCAAAGCUUUAUGCGCCCAAGGAUCGGUUCGCGGUCCAUUAGGUAGUUGGCGGGGUAAUGGCCCACCAAGCCGAAGAUGGAUAGCUGGUCUGAGAGGAUGAUCAGCCACACUGGGACUGAGACACGGCCCAGACUCCUGCGGGAGGCAGCAGUGGGGAAUAUUGCGCAAUGGGCGAAAGCCUGACGCAGCAACGCCGCGUGUGUGACGAAGGCCUGUGGGUCGUAAAGCACUGUUAGGAGGGAAGAAACAAAUGACGGUACCUCCAGAGAAAGCACCGGCUAACUCCG
This 464-nucleotide ribosomal RNA is filed under the name uncultured delta proteobacterium. Its description in RNAcentral is "bacterial SSU rRNA". It matches the Rfam family "Bacterial small subunit ribosomal RNA", at positions 29 to 505 of the family's 1533-position model. Lineage: Bacteria; Deltaproteobacteria. The record is from RNAcentral.